AUUGAACGCUGGCGGCAUGCUUUACACAUGCAAGUCGAACGGCAGCACGGGGGCAACCCUGGUGGCGAGUGGCGAACGGGUGAGUAAUAUAUCGGAACGUACCCGGAAAUGGGGGAUAACGUAGCGAAAGUUACGCUAAUACCGCAUAUGCCCUAAGGGGGAAAGCGGGGGAUUCGCAAGAACCUCGCGUUUUCGGAGCGGCCGAUAUCGGAUUAGCUAGUAGGUGAGGUAAAGGCUCACCUAGGCGACGAUCCGUAGCUGGUCUGAGAGGACGACCAGCCACACUGGAACUGAGACACGGUCCAGACUCCUACGGGAGGCAGCAGUGGGGAAUUUUGGACAAUGGGCGCAAGCCUGAUCCAGCCAUGCCGCGUGAGUGAAGAAGGCCUUCGGGUUGUAAAGGCUCUUUCAGCCGGAAAGAAACGCACGGGUUAAUAACCUGUGUGGAUGACGGUACCGGAAGAAGAAGCACCGGC
Molecule: ribosomal RNA, 476 nt
Filed under: uncultured bacterium
Lineage: Bacteria
Description: bacterial SSU rRNA
Rfam family: Bacterial small subunit ribosomal RNA
Source: RNAcentral